This 254-nucleotide ribosomal RNA is filed under the name uncultured bacterium. RNAcentral's name for it is "partial 16S ribosomal RNA". It matches the Rfam family "Bacterial small subunit ribosomal RNA", at positions 524 to 776 of the family's 1533-position model. The record is from RNAcentral.
UACGGGGGGAGCAAGCGUUGUUCGGAUUUACUGGGCGUAAAGGGCGCGUAGGCGGCCACCGCAAGUCAGUUGUGAAAUCUCUGGGCUUAACCCAGAAAGGUCAACUGAUACUGCGGGGCUAGAGUGCAGAAGGGGCAACUGGAAUUCUCGGUGUAGCGGUGAAAUGCGUAGAUAUCAAGAGGAACACCUGCGGCGAAGGCGGGUUGCUGGGCCGACACUGACGCUGAGGCGCGAAAGCGUGGGGAGCAAACAGG